CGAACGCUGGCGGCGUGCUUAACACAUGCAAGUCGAGCGGAAAGGCCACUUCGGUGGUACUCGAGCGGCGAACGGGUGAGUAACACGUGAGUAAUCUGCCCCUGGCUUUGGGAUAGCCACCGGAAACGGUGAUUAAUACCGGAUAUGACACAUUCUCGCAUGAGUUUGUGUGGAAAGUUUUUCGGCCAGGGAUGUGCUCGCGGCCUAUCAGCUUGAUGGUGAGGUAAUGGCUCACCAUGGCUUCGACGGGUAGCCGGCCUGAGAGGGUGACCGGUCACACUGGGACUGAGACACGGCCCAGACUCCUACGGGAGGCAGCAGUGGGGAAUAUUGGACAAUGGGCGGAAGCCUGAUCCAGCAACGCCGCGUGAGGGAUGACGGCCUUCGGGUUGUAAACCUCUUUCAGUACCGACGAAGCGCAAGUGACGGUAGGUACAGAAGAAGCACCGGCCAACUACGUG
RNAcentral lists this ribosomal RNA (461 nucleotides) under uncultured bacterium. Its description in RNAcentral is "partial 16S ribosomal RNA". It matches the Rfam family "Bacterial small subunit ribosomal RNA", at positions 30 to 507 of the family's 1533-position model. The record is from RNAcentral.